UCCUCCGUAGCUCAAUUGGUCAGAGCGUCUGACUGUUACGCUCGACGAUCGACGAUCCUUCGCAACGAAGCCAUCGUCAGUGCCUAGAUACCUAGCUAGCAAUCAGGAGGUUGACAGUUCAAUCCUGUCCGGGGGAG
Molecule: non-coding RNA, 137 nt
Organism: Hypoxylon fuscum
Lineage: Eukaryota; Fungi; Ascomycota; Sordariomycetes; Xylariales; Hypoxylaceae
Source: the annotation of a GenBank genome assembly